UACGAAGGGGGCUAGCGUUGUUCGGAAUUACUGGGCGUAAAGGGCGCGUAGGCGGCGUGUCAAGUCAGGCGUGAAAGCCCCGGGCUCAACCUGGGAACCGCGCUUGAGACUGGCAUGCUCGAGUUCGGGAGAGGAUGGUGGAAUUCCUGGUGUAGCAGUGAAAUGCGUAGAUAUCAGGAGGAACACCGAUGGCGAAGGCAGGUCUCUGGGCUGACACUGACGCUCAUGCACGAAAGCGUGGGGAGCAAACAGG
Molecule: ribosomal RNA, 253 nt
Filed under: uncultured bacterium
Lineage: Bacteria
Description: partial 16S ribosomal RNA
Rfam family: Bacterial small subunit ribosomal RNA
Source: RNAcentral